Molecule: ribosomal RNA, 615 nt
Filed under: uncultured bacterium
Lineage: Bacteria
Description: bacterial SSU rRNA
Rfam family: Bacterial small subunit ribosomal RNA (bases 1-521)
Source: RNAcentral
CCUACGGGAGGCAGCAGUGGGGAAUCUUGCGCAAUGGGCGAAAGCCUGACGCAGCAACGCCGCGUGCGGGAAGAAGGCUUUCGGGCUGUAAACCGCUUUCAGCAGGAACGAAAAUGACGGUACCUGCAGAAGAAGGAGCGGCCAACUAUGUGCCAGCAGCCGCGGUGAUACAUAGGCUUCAAGCGUUGUCCGGAUUUAUUGGGCGUAAAGAGUUCGUAGGCGGUCGAGUAAGUCGGGUGUGAAAAUUCUGGGCUCAACCCAGAGACGCCACCCGAUACUGCUUAACUUGAGUUCGAUAGGGGAGUGGGGAAUUCCUAGUGUAGCGGUGAAAUGCGCAGAUAUUAGGAGGAACACCGGUGGCGAAGGCGCCACUCUGGAUCGAUACUGACGCUGAGGAACGAAAGCAUGGGUAGCAAACAGGAUUAGAUACCCUGGUAGUCCAUGCCGUAAACGGUGGGCACUAGGUGUGGGAUUCUAUUAACGAAUUCCGCGCCGUCGCUAAACGCAUUAAGUGCCCCGCCUGGGGGUAGGUACGGUCGCGAGAACGUAAACUACAAGAGUAAGUUAGUACGGCGUUGUAGACGUUGCCGAACGGACGACGACGAGGGGAGGAGG